Molecule: non-coding RNA, 1612 nt
Organism: Oryctolagus cuniculus (rabbit)
Lineage: Eukaryota; Metazoa; Chordata; Mammalia; Lagomorpha; Leporidae
Source: RefSeq, a predicted model, not a curated record
UUUUCCUUUGUGGUCAUUAGGAUAUGCCUGCUAAUCUGGCGCCUGACCCAGUGUAACUGCAGCCUACAAAAGCCCCAACACCAAUGUGGAACCAUAGGAGUUUGGGACAGGACAUGGAGUAUCAUUGACAAAACAGUAAAUCUCAUAGGGUCUAAUUGGAACAAGACUUUGAAGCUCUAACAGCUUUGAAGCUCUAACAGGUUAAAUAAUGAUGCAAAUGACUUGAGAACUGGAUGGAAUCAAAGGCAAAAUUAAAUUAUUCUUUUAAGAAGAAAGUUCUUCAGAGAGCUGGAUAAGAAGAAGACGCUACCGUGAGAAGAUGGCCUUCCAUGAACCAGAGAGCCGGCUCUCAUCCAACACCACUCUGCUGACAAAUUGAUCUUGGACUUCACAGUGUCUAGGACUGAAAGAAGUAAAUGUCUAUUGCUCAUCAGCCGUCCAGUCCAAGAUAUGUUGCCAUAGCAGCCCACACAGACUAAGACAACAAAUACAAAAGGCGGGAAUAUGGGAUGACCAAAUCUACUAACGUUAUUAUGCAAUUUUCAUAUGCUCUCCCUGAUAGAUCUAGAGGCACACAAAGUGCAGGCUGCCAAUUGAAGACCAAUGCUUUCCUCCUAACAAAAUAAACAAUGUGAUGCAUAAGGAUUUGCAAAGAAAAGAGCAGUAGGAAGGAAAAUGGCUAUACAGAGUCAUUUUCAAAGGAAAAAAUUAUGUUGCUUUGUGAUGAUAGCGAUAAGAUUACAGAGUAAGGUCACAAGGCAACCUCACAGAGAAGUUACAGGAUCAGAGGUGAGGGUAUACAGCUCAGCCCCAGAGCCCAGGCCUAUCAUGCUGCACCUCUGUGAAGUCAGUCCAAACCCAUGCAGAGCUGCUCCCCACAGUGGCAGCUUUGACAAGAGAAAGUGAGGCAGAGACUGUCAAAGUGGUGCAGAUCAGGUGGUUCACCUUAGCACAGGGACUUACAGAACACUUAGAUGCAAGUUUGCAGACAACCACUGAGCAGUGCAGGGAAUUUACACAAGGUAAUUCAUGUAUUCACUCCAUUUUUUUAAAGAUUUAUUUACUCAUUAGAAAGGCAGAGUUACAGAGGUGGAGACAGAGAGAGAGGUCUUCCAUCCACUGGUUCACUCCCCAGAUGGCCACAACAGCCAGAGCUGGACCAAUCUAAAGCCAGGAGCCAGGAGCUUCCUCCAUGCUGCACCCUGGUGCAGGGGCCCAAGAACUCUGGCCAUCCUUUACUGCUUUCCCAGGCCACAGUAGAGCUGGACCAGAAAUGGAGCAGCUGGGAUCCAAACUGGAGCCCACAUGUGUUGCCUGCACUACAGGCAGCAGCUUUACCCGCUACACCUCCGUGCUGGCCCCUUCACUCCAUUUCUUUUUGUUUUGUUUGGUAACUAUUACCAGAACGUACAUUUUUUUCUUUGCCUUGAAAAAGUAGGAUCUUGCAGUUCUAUCUAAAUUGAUAAUAAAAAAAGAAAAACAUUGUUGAAAAUUAUACACUGUAUAGAGGAUAUAAAAAGAAGGCAAAGUUCAAUGUGACAUUUGAAAAAUGAAGAUAAUUUUCUAAUUUUAAUAUAGUAAGAAUUCUACCAAUACAACACUCCUUGCAUCA